UUUUUUUUUGUUCUUUUUGUGUAACUUUUUCUUUCGGUUUCUACUUUUCUGGGAUUUCUCAUCAGUUUUAUUCGUGUCUUUUUAUUUUAUUUUUCCCCUUUUCCUUGUUUUGCAAUACAUGUCUGCAUUUUUCAAGACAUGUUCUACAUUUUCUGUACACAUCUGGCACAUUUGUUUGAUACAUGUUGAAAAAAAAAUUAAACAUGAUGAACAUUUUAUUCAAAUGCAUGUUAAGCAUUGUUUCAAAUACACGUAGCAUUUUUUUAAUGAUAUGAAACAUUUUUGAUACGCGAACAUAUUUAUCACUGUAUAGAAAAAUUAAAAGUGUCCCAUACAUAUUUUUAUGGUACAAAAGAUUCACUUGAAUGAUGCGGCAAAUUUUUUGGCACUGUGUAAACAUUUUUUUCAAAUGCGUGAACAUUUUAUAAAACUUGCUUUAACAUUUUUUAAAGAGAAAAGUAUACUUUUCGUCCCUUAAUUCUUGGCGGAGUCUAGAUUUGGUCCCUCAACUUCAAAACCGGGCAACUUGCAUUCUUCACUUCUGAAACCGGACAAGAUUCAUCCCUAAUCACGGUUUUGACCGGUUUUGGUGCUGUCUCACCCUGGUUUUGACUGUUCUGACCCAAAUAUGCCUACUUUUUCCAAGUCCACGCAAUGUUUUCAAAUUCGGUUACUUUUUUCAAAUAUGCGAACCUUUUUAAAAUUUUUGUACUUUUUUUAAUCUGCGUACUUUUUCCAAAUUCAUGUGCUUUUUCAAAUAUGCUUAUUUUUUUAAAGUUCAUUUAAUUUUUUAAAAUUGAUGUACCGUUUCAUAUUCGAGUACAUUUUUUUGAAAGAGUUCAUGAAUUUGAAAAUUUUAUGCGAACUUGAAAAAAGUACACGGAUAUGGACUUCUUUUAUGCAAAAAUAUGUGGAAUUCAAAAAUUAUUUCAACUUGAAACAAGUACGUGAAUUUCAAACAAAGUUCAUGGAUUAUAAAUGGAACAUGGAUUUGAACAAAAAUGCGGACUUUGAAAAGCAUGUGGAUUUGAAAUAAGUAUGCAAAUUCAAAAACAGUUCAUGGCUUUGAAAAAUACUUGGAUUAGAUAAAAUUACACAAAUUUGGGAAAAUACAGGGAUUUGGAAAAGUACGUAAAUGUUAAAAGAUCACGGAUUUGAAAAAAAAUGUGAAUUUCAGAAUAGUUUGCUGAUUUGUAAAAAGUAUGUUUAUUUUUGAAAUAAAUACGCGACCUUGAAAAACUACGCGAGUUGAAAAAUGUACGUGGAUUUCAAAAAGUUCACGGACAUAAAAAAAUUACAGGAAUAUGAGUCAGCACCAGUCAAAACCGGGGUGAGUCAACACCAAAACCGGUCAAAACCGAGUCAAGGGACGAACCUUGUCCGGUUUCGGUAGUUGGAGAUGCAAGUUGUCUGGUUUUAAAGUUGAGGGACCAAAUCUAGACUUCACCAAAAAUUGAGGGACGAAAAGUAUACUUUUGUGCAAAGAACAUUUUAAAUUUUAAAUAUAAUGUUUUUCUUUUUCAAUAAAAAAAAGGGAACCAACACUUAUCCCAUCCUAGGCCGGCCUAAUGACGAAGCAGUAGAGGCGAGCAUGUUCUUUUUCUCGCACGAAGCGCAAGAAAACCGAGAAGAAACAGUGUCACGCCAAACUGGACCGGCGGCCCUUGACUGCACCCACCGCGUCACAACAACAGUCUGAAGCUAAUCGUCAUAGGAUGCCUCAAUAUUUAGGCCCAACAUACUACGAAAAAUAACUCUUCGAAUAUAGCAAGUCAGAGAUGUGAACAUCUAAUACUAUACAUCGAAAAAAUAGAAUAAAAGGGAUGAUGUACAAGUCGGCCGACUGAAAACUGGAAAAAGUCCGCCAUCUCGUCCACCAUUUGAUCAAAGCAUAAUCAAUUGUUGGAUUCCCUCAACACUAUAAUUUCCCGCUUCGACCUCUCAAGAGUACUUUGCAACAUGAGUCAUGUUGCGCUCGAGAGUAUACAACAUGACCCAUGUUGCAACCACGUGGGCCAAUCUGCAACAUGGGCCAAGUUGUGCUUGCUUUGUAAAGGUUUGGAUGGGUUGGCAACAUGAGCGCAUUGGUCAGCUUGCAGGUGGCAGUCCCUUACGAAACCAAAGAUGGGGAGUAGAGGGACAAGACAAAUAGCGGACGGUUCAUUGAUGAUUUGAGCAAGAGUGAUAGUGCGCCAUGGGAGGGGGUGGGAUAAGCUAGAAGUUGGGUUUGACUCGCGUGGAGCAUCAUGGACGGGAGGGUCAGGGGAAGGACAUGGCACGUGUCGCUUCAAGGAGGCGGUCGACAUUUCGAGUGGAAUCACCCGGGUGAUUUUGAGCAUUUCCCAAAAAAAUAUCAGAGCCAACUCGAGGCUUGGCCUGUUUUGGGGUUUUCCCCUGGAAAUAUUUAUGUGAUGGUAGCUUUAUGAAUGAUUAUAUGUAUAUCAUUACCACAAGACCUAAAGUUUCAAACAUCAUGUUGUAAUUAGAGCCACCAAGAACACACUCUGUCUUGUGUUCUUAUGACUUCGAGAAUCUCUGUUGGUAGAUGCUUCAUUGGAAAAUAUGCGUGGGCCGAAUGUUUAUGCACGUCCUAAAUUUAGGUCUCUUUGAUCCAAAGGAACUUUGUAGGUAUUUUGAGGGAUCAUAAUUCUUAGGAUUUUUUUAGGUCAUUUGAUCUGCAUGAUUUAAUCCUAUAGGGUUUGUUUCUACGGAUCACUGUGUACUACAUUACAUAUGAAUUUUAGCAUCCACUCAAACAUUGAAAAUAAUCCUUUGUUGUUUCUGUAAUGCAACUAAAAGAAACCAAAAUCACACUGGAUUAAAAUAUGCAUGGAUUGUAACCCUAUUGCAUUUUUGAAAUCCUGCGAAUCAAAAAGGCCCAAAUAGAUUGAAUCCUACACAUGCUAUUUGGGCCUUUGGUGUCAAGGAGACAUGUCCAAUGUUUUAGUUCUUACUAAACACCAUAGUUUCUCGUACAUAGGUGAUAAGGGCAACAAGCUAGCAAAAGAUCAUUGGUAUCAUCUAUACCAAUAUAAAAAAGAGUGAGUUGCGUAGAUCCAACAAGUCACACUCAUUCAACCACAUAUAUCCACUGGUCUAUGCCGCUCUGAUGUUUAGCAUUAAAUAUAUUUAGCACUACACAUGUUUAGCAUCCUCCACUAAUUAAUAUCGGGCCUAAUAUCAACAUGCAUAAUAUUUUAUAUCUGUUUCAUAUUAAUGUGGAAUAUCUUGCCUAAUAUUAACGUGAAUUGCAUAUACAUGAUUACUAGUUAUUCCAAGUGUACCAGAGCAUUUUAUUAAUUCUAAAGAGUAUUAAUGAGUCAUUGAUGUCAUUUCACAACAAUUGAUUACAUGAUAGCCUAGAUCGAUAAAGAAGACAAACGUAAACAUGGGUCAUGGUGGGGAGCUAGUGGCAAAUUGGCAAUGAGCUCCAAGUCCCCACUACUUCCUAUGACUACAACCAAGAGGACAUCAACACCUCCGAUGAUCAUCAGGGCGAUUCCAAGGUUCGACUGUAGGCUGAGGUGAUGCUAGAGGAACAAGAGGAAGAUGGUUCAGAUCAUACAGCAAAGUUGGUGGUAAUGGUACGUAGGGAGGGCCCUCGCCCCCUCCCCCUCUAAGGCCUCUCUCUCUCUCUCUCUCUCUCUCUCUCUCUCUCUUUGCCAAAUGAUCAGCUCUAUUAUAAAAGUUCAUCGGAAGUACAGACCAUCUCAAACAUAAUAAAAAUUGCAUCGAGAUUCUAAGCCCACCGAACGACCACUACUCCCUCUAUUUAACUUAACCUUUAUUGGUAAUAAAUUAUCUCACUAUAAUGAAUAACAAAAGCGUUGGUUACAUAAGUGGGUGUAGAUGUGGGUGUCAAAACCAAAAAGUGCAUUUGGCCACCGGGUUCAUAGUAAGUCUUUACUUUUUUUUCUCUAAGACCUUAUUUACACUUAUUAAAAAAUUCUACAAAAGUGUGCACAUAUGAAUACACAUAUACUACAUAUGUACAAAGCUUCAUAAUAAUAUAUUUUCAUAUGUGGUCUACACAAAAAGCAAAUGCAUAUAUCAAAACAGACUUUUUGUUGUUGUUUUUGGGUCAUAAUUUUGUUUGUUCUGUGCAAACCUACAAUUUAACAAAUUAGUAUCUAAUGAAAUUUUACGGAUAUGUAGUGAACAUGUAUAUAUUUUCAAAGGAAAAUUGGUUUUGUUUUAAAACUUUAAUUAGCAUUUUUAAUGCAUUUUUGGUUGUGUUAACGAAGUUUGGCCUCAAAAAAGAUUUGGAGGAAGUCCUUUAGCAUUGUCUAUGUGUAUAAUACUUUUUCCAUAUGGUUCAUUUAUGUCAUCUUUUGCACAAAACGAAAUUGUGAGGCAUUUCUUUCUUCUUGAUAACCUAGUGUGCAUCAUAACAUGUCGCACUUUUUUUAAGUGUGCAAGUUGCACCUUAAACUUUACCAACAAAAUAUGGUGCAACUUGAAAUGAUCCACCAAUAAAAUGGCGUGAAUUUUCAAUUUCAUUUCAAACUGCCCACAAAUGUGAUCUCACUGCCUCUUUAAUUUGAAGAAAAAAGAAGCUUUGAGUCUAGAGGGUGUAUCCUUCAUAUCUUAUUUAUAUUAUUAUUUUUCCCGACGGGGGGGGGGGGUAUAUUUUCAUCUGGGUAAUUUUGAGGUCAUGUUCCCUUCAACACUACUGGAAACCGAUGAAAAAUGGACAAUGAUGAAUACCAUAAUACUGAAUAUUUGAACUAUGAAGCAUGUAUAGUUUUUGAAUUUUCAUUUGAACCUAACAUUUGAUUGUAUUGAGUCAUUUUCUUAGUUUGCUUUGUGGAAAUUUGGUGGUAUGUAGCUAAGUAGUUCAGUUGAUUAAGUGCUUCCUGGAUUGACAACCAUUGCAUUUUCUUUAGUUGUCUGACAGACUGUCUUUCCCUUUGUUAACUGUAAAAAUAUACCUUUGAAUGCCCCUGGAUUAAUUAUUUAUAGUUGUUUGUUAACAUUUGAAGUUGGAACUUCAAUUCCUUUUAGACCUUAUACUCAUUAUAUGAUACAAAAACAAUAUGCAAAUUUUCUUGAAUGAUGGGUACACCCAUAGGGUUCAUGCAAAUGCAUAUGAGAAAUCAUAGAAUAUAGGCCUAAUUGAUAGUAUGAUAAUCUCCAACAUAAAAAUGUGUGCCCUUUAGUUGCAAGGCCUACAACUAUGUUAUAGUAUCCUUUUCAAACAUACUCCCUCCGUUUCUAAAUAUAAGCCUUUGUAUAUAGGUGUAUUUUAGAGUGUAGAUUCACUCAUUUUGCUUUGUAUGUAGUCCAUAUUGAAAUCUCUAAAAGGGCUUAUAUUUAGGAAUGGAGGGAGUAUAUGCUAUCUAAUACACUGGAAAACACGAGAUGUUAGGUACACUUCUUCAUUAUCCUUCAAAAUUUGUUGAUAUACUCCCGAUAAUAUCUAUAUCGCCUUCUAUUUUUCAGUAUUUUUAAGUAAAUACUUCUGGCAUGGGGGUAAGUCCUCUAGGUGAAAGGCCACAAGCUUGGUUCUCCCAAAAAGCCCCUGGCUUCGGGUCCUUCCUUGACAUAAAAAGUCGGGCCUUUGAGUUUCUUCCUAUUUGCCUAGCAAUUCAGUUUUUAUUUUAAUCUUUUCAGUAAAAAAAGUAUUGCGCUUUGACAUACUUCUUUUAUUAUGUGCAUUUGAUAAGUAAUUUUGAGCUUAUGUUCUACUAUGUUAUUUCGUCCAGGAUUGACAUGCCUUCAAAGGGGGCUGGAAUUUGUUAGUUUUGUUUGAUGAUGUUGCAAAGCAAAUGAUAUGUUACUUGGAGCUUGUUUUUUCCAUGGAGUAAUGUAAUGUUAACCAACACUCUGGCCAAAAUUCACACAUCAAAUGAACUAUAGUAUCCCGCAGCAAUGCAUGGGGUAUCAUCUAGUUAGAAAAGUUUUGAGGUGUACUUUCUGUCAUCAAAGAUGCACCACACAUGGUGACAAUAAAUGUGUCCUUUAUAGUUUGCUUCUACGCAUUACUUCCCUUUAUGUGAAUAUAACCUUAUUGAUAUAGUUUUGUUAGUUUAAUUUGAAAUUCACAGCAUACAAAAAUGACAUAAAUAUAUUGUCGUGACACGGCAUGCCACGCCGGGAAGGCUGGUUUCUCCUGAGGAUACAACCAAGAGGACUCCGACACCUCUGAUGAUCAUCAAGGUGAUCCCAAGGUUCAACCAUUGGCUGAGGUUCAUUGAGGAUGCCAGAGGAAGUGAGGAACGAGAGGAAGAUGGUUCAGAUCAUACAACGGUAAUGGCAUCGAUAUGUAGGGNNNNNNNNNNNNNNNNNNNNNNNNNNNNNNNNNNNNNNNNNNNNNNNNNNNNNNNNNNNNNNNNNNNNNNNNNNNNNNNNNNNNNNNNNNNNNNNNNNNNNNNNNNNNNNNNNNNNNNNNNNNNNNNNNNNNNNNNNNNNNNNNNNNNNNNNNNNNNNNNNNNNNNNNNNNNNNNNNNNNNNNNNNNNNNNNNNNNNNNNNNNNNNNNNNNNNNNNNNNNNNNNNNNNNNNNNNNNNNNNNNNNNNNNNNNNNNNNNNNNNNNNNNNNNNNNNNNNNNNNNNNNNNNNNNNNNNNNNNNCACUAUAAUGAGUAACAAAAGCGUUGGUUAAAUGAGUGGGCGUAGAUGUGUGGGUCAAAACUAAAAGGUGCAUUUGGCCACAGGGCUCAUGGUAGCUUUGUACUUUUUUCUCUAAAAUCUUAUUUACGCAUAUUAAAAAAUUCUAAAAAAUCCAUAUAUGUAUACACAUAUACUACGUAUGUACAAAGUUUCAUAAUACAGUUAAAUACGCUCGAGAUGCUAAAAGUUUCUUGGCAGUUCACUUUAGUCCUACUUUCAAAAUGCAUCUUUAGGUCCUAAUUUUAUAGUAAGUGGUUCACCCGAGGUUCUUUUUUUCUUUGCACGAGCGCUCGCUGGCCUGCUCAUGAGGCGCGUUGACCGACACCACGUCAACUUAGGGGCCACCAGCUGACUAGGAACUUUGCAAAAAAAACUCCUGAUCUAUUCCCCUCUCAUUAGUGGUCCUUCUCCCCUUUCACCCUAGUCUGGCAACACAGGAGGCAAUCGGUGGCGGAGGCGACGACGGAUUUCCUCUUUGUGGCGGCGGCGGUAACAGAUUUCCUCUUUGCGGCGGCGACAUGGGUCGAUCUGGAGGGUAAUGCGAGUGACAUGCAGAAGAAAAAAACGUUGACUCUAGAGGGUGCAUCCUUCAUAUAUAUAUAUAUAUAUUAGGCCGGACAGCGGGGGGGAGGGGGGUGUUAUAUUUUCAUCCGGGCUACUUUCUAGAAUUCAUAAGCAGACUUUUAUCCUAUUGUUGUACUAACAACUUGCAUACGUAGCUUCUUUUUUCUUAUAUAGCAUUGAAUUAUUGCGGUCUUGUAUUGCCCAGUGUUUAGACUUAAUCAAAUGGCACUAUGACAGUGACCCAACAUGACAAUCAUUCACAUAUCGGUUAAAGAAGGUUGGCACAAGAAUUUCCAUGGGAAUUGUUUGUGUGUCCUACACUUGAGAUGACGGCUGGAGUUUGAUUGAUUCAACUGAAUAAAAACAGGGGGGCUUUGAAACGUUGAUCCAUUCUGCCAGUGAGCUGGCAAAAGUAAAAUACAGCUGAAGAAAAACUUAUCCUGCUCACCAAGCUGCUCUUUAAAAUGUGGUCUUUAGCAAAGUCUUCACUUCGUUUCUCUCUGCAUUUUCUUCUAAAAACCAUUGAUCUUGCAAUUAUAUAUAGUUUUUUUGGUAGGUUUCUAGUGGUCCAGGUUUAUACUGAAAACUUUCUUUGUAAGGAAAAUAUUUAGUCGGCACGGUUCCCGAUGUCUCCAUUGCUUAAUUGACCAGCUUAAAAAACAGAAGAAGAAAAAUAGUGUGACCUUGAGUGAAAAGGACAGGUGAAUCAACAUCCCGGCCGUCGAUCAAAUCGACGGCUGUGAUCGUCACCAGCCUAGUUGACUUUGCUAAAAAAAAUUAUUCUGGUAGUGCUCCACCUCUCACUCUCGGCCUGAAUAUUAUACCCGCGCCAAUUACUUCCUGCACAAGUGAAGGUCCCAACGAGAGAGACUAACAAUGUCGCAUAUGCUCUGGUCCAUCCCUGUAUAAAGUCGCCGCGAGAUCCAGCAGGAACCUUUUCCUGCUCCGGCCGCCAUUGCCGCGACCUUGCUCACCUUGCGCAAGCUUCUGCAUGCGCUUGCAUGGUGAAACUCUUCUCCACCUUGUCCAUCUCUUGAUGUUCAACCCGAUCUAGACUAGAGCUAUUUGAUUCCAUUGCACCACCAAGAUUGUAUUCUUGGGUUCUUUGUCCAUGGAGGGGGUGGAGGAGGCCAACCGGGCGGCGGUGGUGAGCUGCAAGAGGCUGGUCGCGCGCCUCUCGUUGUCCGCCGGCGACCCGUUCCGGCUCGCCGCCGUCGCGGCCGAGACCGAAGAGGCCGUGUCCCGGUUCAGCAAGGUGGUUAACAUCCUCGGCAAUAGGGUUGGCCAUGCGAGGGCGAGGGUCGGCCGGAGGAGCUCGCCGCCGGCCGACCCGAUUGCGAGGUGCCUCCUUGAGUACCACCCUCCCCCGCCGGUGCCGUACUGCCCACCUGCCAGUGCCCCCCAACUCCAUGGGAGUAGCAGUAGCACUCCUGCGCCGCCGCCGACGCCGCUGAAGCAGAUGCCGGUGCCGGUGGCGGCGGCGGCUCCCUGUGCCGCCGGCAACGGCAAGGUCGUUGCACCGGCGGCCAAGGGUGCUGCGGACAGGGACAUGUUCUUCCAGACGCCGCUCCUGGAUUUGAGUGCGUGCAGCAGCGUUACUCCCGCCUCCAUUGCCGCCGCGCAGAUCAACGGCUCGAGACUUUCCGCAGCUCCGGCGGCCAAGGCUCCAGACAGGGACAUGUUCUUCCAGACGCCAAUCCUGGAUUUGAGUGGGUGUACUCCCGCCUCCAUUGCCGCCGUGCAGAUCAACGGCUCCAGAGUUUCGGCAGCUCCGGCGGCCAAUCCUCCUCCUGCCCCUCCACCUCCUCCUCAAAUCCAAUUCCACCAUCAGAUUCCGCAGCAGCAGCAGCAGCAGCAGCCGCAGAAGAGGAUACUCGAGCAGCAGCAGAGGCCGGCCAGCAGCGACAACAAGAGGUUCCAUUUCGAGCCGAAGCCGGCGAGCGAGAAGCCGUUCCACAUCGAGAUCCCGGCGGCGAGGAGCGGCAAGGAGCCGGAGGUGAUCACCUUCAGCUUCGACAACUCGGUGUGCACCUCGUCGGCGGCCACGUCCUUCUUCACCAACAUGAGCAGCCAGCUGAUCACCAUGUCGGAGACCUCCGCCUGCGCGCCGGCGUCCAGGAAGGCGGCGCACAAAGCCGACGAUGACGGCAAAUGCCACUGCCCGAAGAAAAAGUCGGUGCCGGUCGCAUGCGCGCGCCAUUGAUUUAUCUAGCUCUGCCGAUUGCGUGCGCCUUUACUUUACUUACAAUCGUGUGAUUGGUUGGUUUGCAGGAAGCCGAGGGAGAAGAGGGUGGUGAGGAUGCCGGCGGUGAGCGACAAGGUGGCCGAUAUACCUUCCGACAGUUACUCGUGGAGGAAGUACGGGCAGAAACCCAUCAAAGGCUCUCCACACCCAAGGUAUAUUAUGCUCCAAUCUUGGUUAAUUAGUCUAGCUCUCUCUCUCUCUCAUGUUCAUUGUUAUGUAAUGUCACCAAGUAUUAUCCAUGAAUGAAACAAACUUAUUAGAAAUGUCAGUAAGAGGUUGUGGGCAUGCACCGUAGCCGUGUCGAUCUCAGCAUUCAUUGGGCGUGCAAGCAUGCACUUGGUGCUGAGUGAGACAUUACAAUUGGACAUGAUCAGGUGGUAAUAAAUUCAGGCGGGUAUGAAGUAUGAACUUGUUGUUGGUUAAUUGCAGGGGAUACUACCGGUGCAGCAGCAUCAAGGACUACCCGGCGAGGAAGCACGUGGAGCGGUGCCGCGGCGACGCCGGGAUGCUCAACGUCACCUACGAGAACGACCACAACCACGCGCAGCCACUCGACCUCGCCACGCUCACCGCCAACUCCGAAGCCUGACCGAGGCUGCCGGUGCCAGAAGAACUCUGAAUUUCUAUGCCAUGGAUGGAGCAUGCCAUUCAGCCUGACCAAAUCUGAAUGCAAGUGAAAAUUGUAUGAGGAAGGCGAAGAUUUCGCCUACGCGUCUUUCGCAAUGUAUAGUGAGCACUUGAUUGUCCUUUUGGAUUGUAUCCUGUCGAAAAAUCGCUCCGUGCAAAUGCUUGUUAAAUUUCCUUGUAGAACUAGUACUAGCUUUGCUUGUUUUGUUUUCAGUGUAGCUUUGCUUGUUUAACCACGGUGAAGAGAUCACAAUUCAUGGCAUUGUCCAGCUUGUCACAUACUUAUGACCUUGCCUAAUGUUCUAGUAGACGUGCUGCUGUAUGAACAACUCUAUCUAUCAAGACACCAAAUCUUGCAUUACAAUUACAGGAAGUCGGAAACUAAAAACCUCAUCUCAGAAGUACUCCCUCUAGUGAUCUAAACGCUUUUACAUCUCUUUACGGAGGGAGUGCCUAACUAUGGUGCGCAAAUCACAUGUUCAAAGCUUUUUUGAGCUUGACACAUGACAUGCCAUCUUUCCUAACGUCAGAAAGUAAAGGUUGCACAUAUUAUCAUCGCAGAAACUAAGAGCUCAUCUGACAAGAGCUAUUCAGAAUUUCAGAUGCCGCUAUUAGACGAACUAACGUGAUGUUCAGCGUAUCUUCUGGAGCUCGCUUGUGCGCAUCAACGACAACGCACGCACGCACGCACGCUCGAGAGAUCAAGCCAAUAAAUGGGAUGAUUGCUUCAGAUAUAUUCCAAAAACUGUCAUGAACCAACCAGAUAGAUAGAUCAUCAUGAUUUAUGUGUACAUACCUGCCUGCCGAUCUUCCAAAAUCCAGUCCAGUGGGAUGGCGAUCUACUCGCCUGCUAAGCUGCUGCUUAGGCUAAGCCUAAGCCUAAGCCAACUGUAAACCACCCGAACAAGUAGCUGCAAAACAUUGACCAAAACCUAGUUUAAUCCACGCCUGGUGUCUCUCGCCCUCUGCAGCUGAAGCAUGCGGGUGCUAGUCUAAUCUGGAGCCACAUGAGGAGGAAUCAAGAGAAUCAUGGUGGCAUUAAAUGCGAGCCACCCCCACGAUUAGCGGCGCUAAGCAUGUGCCGCAACUGUAUGUCUGUCAGGGGAGGAGCUGGCCAACGGUUAUGUCCACCUGGCUUUGCCUAUUAUUAUUACAAGUGUUAUUACUACUAAUUGAGGCACUUGAUUAGCAUUUGGGGAGUGUCAUGCGUGCGCAUCAGAUAUCUUGAACUUAGUCGCCUAGGAUGGGGAAAAUGAAUGUGGUUGAUAUCUCUAUCCGGAAUUGAGAUCAUAACCAAUAUCGGAGAUAGGAUCAUGUGUGUACAGUAUGUAUUCUCUGUAGAUAGACUGUCCAAGGAAAAGAGAGAAGGCAAAUAAUGCGUUUCAUUUUAGGAUGAUAUGCCGAAUUUUAGAGGGGUGAGACAUGGUGACCCCCUUUCCCAUUUCCUUUUUAACAUAGCUGCCAACUGCUUGCAGAGAAUGAUUCAGUUAGCCAAGUCAAGUGGUCAGAUUGUGGGCCCGAUCCCCCACCUAAUUGAUAAGGGAGUUGUCAUUUUGCAAUAUGUUGAUGAUAUUAUCCUGUUCAUACCGGAUGAUCUGGAUAGUGUUAGGAACCUCAAAGUGUUGUUGUGUUUCAUUGAACACAUGUCAGGUUUGAAAACCAAUUUUUCAAAAAAAGUGGAGUCCUGAUGGUGCUACAGGAUGAUGAUAAAAGGCAGAGUUAUGAUGACCUAUUUAAGUACAAAUUAGGGGCCUGGCCUAUCAAAUAUCCAGGGGUUCCUGCUUGUGGGAGUAGACUACAUGUUGCUGACUGGAUUCCUGCUGAAAAGAAAAUCGUGAAGAGAAUGUAGGGCUGGUAUGCUGGAAACCUGUCCCCUGGUGGCAAGGUGACUAAAAUCAAAGCUUGUUUAACCAGUGUUUUAGUUUACCAUUUCUUCAUGUAUAGAUUCCCUAAGACAAAUAUAGGGAGGGUGGAAAAUCUAUUAGAAGGCUUUUUUGGCAAGAGAAAAGCAAUAAGUCACUGGGUGCGAAGGCAUGUUAUUUGUAGGCAAAAGAAGAAAGGAGGCUGGGUAUCCACAAUUCAGAGAAAUUCAAUGUCAGUCUCAUGUGUAAAUGGUGAUGGAAUCUGGAGAAUAAAGAAGGUAUGUGGCAGAAUUUAGUUAGAAAGAAGGAAAUAUGAGUUAAAAUUGCUAAUGAUUCUCCAUGCUGAGUUGAUUUGAUGAAACUAAAACACAUCUAUAUAAAAGGUAGAAUGAUGAUUGUGGGUACCCAGCCUCCUCAAAAGACCAAUUGAUGAUGGUGUGGAGAAACCUCUUUAAAAGACCAAUUCCCUGGGCUUUUUGAAAUCGACAAAGCUAAUUUCCUGCCGGCAGGAAAUCUGCAACAGAUCCGAACGACCCCAUCGUCGUCGGAUCCUGAUCGUGCGGCCGCCAACUUGCGCGAGAAAAAGAAGGGGCAGGACGGGAUUCGAACCCGCGACCUCCUGCAAUUGGCCCACCACGGUAACAAACUCACCCUGACUUUGUUGCUGUCGAAAGCGCCCAGGCUAUGAAUAUAUUGCGUAGUGGCUCUUUGUUCAAGAUUUAAAAUGUGAAUGACUCGCUAACUUUGAUUGCGAAUUUAGUGGGAAGAAUCUGAAGACUAUGCCGUUGACUGUCGCGAUUUUUCUCUAAAUUGGAUCUGUCAUUUUUUUUUUUGGAUUCUAGAUCUAUUGGCACGCCCUCAUUACAUUUUUAGUCAAAAAAAAUCAUGCUAAAUAUGGGAUUUGAACUCACGCCUAGCAACUAAUGUGAAACACACACUAACCAGCUCAACUGGACCAUUUGUUGCAAAAAGUAUGCACGCCAUAUUAUUUGACCAUUCCAUGUUGCUUUCUUUUCUUCUUUUCUAUAAGGAGUUGAUCAAACAUACCCCGGUAACUGUUAUGUGAAUAACAUGGUCACUCACACAUCGCAAACCCGAUAACUUAUAUAUCCCUGUCCUGAUAACUUUGGCGACCGAAGGGGGAGGGGGGAGUUGACGAAUUUUUGUGUGAAUAGCAUGAUAACUCACACAUUGCAGACCUGAUAAUUUAUGCNNNNNNNNNNNNNNNNNNNNNNNNNNNNNNNNNNNNNNNNNNNNNNNNNNNNNNNNNNNNNNNNNNNNNNNNNNNNNNNNNNNNNNNNNNNNNNNNNNNNNNNNNNNNNNNNNNNNNNNNNNNNNNNNNNNNNNNNNNNNNNNNNNNNNNNNNNNNNNNNNNNNNNNNNNNNNNNNNNNNNNNNNNNNNNNNNNNNNNNNNNNNNNNNNNNNNNNNNNNNNNNNNNNNNNNNNNNNNNNNNNNNNNNNNNNNNNNNNNNNNNNNNNNNNNNNNNNNNNNNNNNNNNNNNNNNNNNNNNNNNNNNNNNNNNNNNNNNNNNNNNNNNNNNNNNNNNNNNNNNNNNNNNNNNNNNNNNNNNNNNNNNNNNNNNNNNNNNNNNNNNNNNNNNNNNNNNNNNNNNNNNNNNNNNNNNNNNNNNCGAGGAGGGUGGGGGGAGUUGAUCAAAUAUCCCCUCGGUAGCUUUUGUGUGAAUAGCAUGGUAACUCACACAUCGUAGACAUGAUAACUUAUGUACCCAGGUCCUGAUAACUUUGGCGAUGAGGGUGGGGAGGGGGGGAGUUGAUAAAACAUCCCCUCGAUAACUUUUGUGUGAAUAGUAUGAUAACUCACACAUCGCAGACCUGGUAACUUAUGUACCUAACCUGAUAAAGAAGUCAUAGAGGAGUCCCUCUACACAUUCACACGUAUAGUACAUCAUCAUUUAUGCAGUGAUUUUUUUUUCAAUAAAAUGCCUUUCUUUUUGUCAUCAGACAAUGGUGAAAAAGAGUUUUAAAAGACUUGUUUUCAAGUAUUGAAUCACAGCCUGGGUUGGUGUUAUGGUUGUCGGUCAUGGUAUUAGGUGUUCCCUAGCUAUUUGAUGCAGGUUCGAAUCCCAUGUAGCGCACUUUUUUUCUCAAUUCCCCUUUUUUUAUUAGUGUCAAUCGGGGGUGAACGGGUGACACUUGGGAGAUGGCUGACUAAAGACAGUUGGCAAAAUUUAGAAGGAAAGCCAGUGGGAUUACAAUGACCGAGGCCAAAGGAUCUGGACUGGUGACCCUAAUUGAGGCUAUAUGCUCAAGAUGACACUUCACUGCCAUAGCUUGGGUCUUUUGGAAGCUUGUUUUAGGGCUUGUUCUGAUUACAAGAUUUUUAUGCUUUACUGGGCAGAUCUUCAAAAUGCCAAAGAUCACAAAGCAUUCAAAAUGAUAAAGAUCAAGGAGCGGCUGCUAACUAAUGUGUUGCUUUUGCCAGAUUAACGGUUUGUCAAGCGAAUAGUGCAGAAUAUCAUCCCAACCACCGUUCACAGCCUGAUGACUAAAACGAUAAAUCUGAUCAAAAUUUAGAAGAGCACACAAAUCGCAACAGAUGACAACUUUAAGGAGAGAAACAUGUUCGAUCCUCCUCAUGAUAACUUCAAAAUCUGGAACUGGAUUAGUUCAAGGUUCAAAGGGAGCUGCUCCACCACUAGACUGACAGACGGUAUAUCAGGUGCUACAUUUGACUAGGAUAAGAACACUGGAUUCCAGACAUCUCAGACAAUUUUCCUGACCAUAUUCUCACUUGAGAGGAAUGAACCUCGACGAGUGGGUGGCACCGAUACCAGGCCUCCCGUGCUUCACCGGCUUGUACGACAGGGAGAACUCUGCCAGGUAGUGCCCAAUCAUCUCCGGCUUGAUCUCCACCUGGUUGAAGCACUUGCCAUUGUAGAUGCCCACGACGCUUCCGAUCAUCUCAGGCAUGAUAAUCAUG
RNAcentral lists this long non-coding RNA (14848 nucleotides) under Triticum aestivum (bread wheat). RNAcentral's name for it is "long non-coding RNA (TAES_LNC006301)". Lineage: Eukaryota; Viridiplantae; Streptophyta; Magnoliopsida; Poales; Poaceae. The record is from RNAcentral.